RNAcentral lists this ribosomal RNA (253 nucleotides) under uncultured bacterium. Its description in RNAcentral is "partial 16S ribosomal RNA". It matches the Rfam family "Bacterial small subunit ribosomal RNA", at positions 524 to 776 of the family's 1533-position model. The record is from RNAcentral.
UACGUAGGGGGCAAGCGUUGUCCGGAGUCAUUGGGCGUAAAGCGCGUGUAGGCGGCUCGAUAAGUCUGCUGUGAAAGUCCAAGGCUCAACCUUGGGAUGCCGGUGGAUACUGUCGAGCUCGAGUCCGGAAGAGGAGUGUGGAAUUCCUGGUGUAGCGGUGAAAUGCGCAGAUAUCAGGAAGAACACCCGUGGCGAAAGCGGCUCUCUGGAACGGUACUGACGCUGAGACGCGAAAGCGUGGGGAGCGAACAGG